RNAcentral lists this unclassified non-coding RNA (227 nucleotides) under uncultured fungus. RNAcentral's name for it is "sequence contains ITS1, 5.8S rRNA gene". The stretch from base 179 to 227 matches the Rfam family "5.8S ribosomal RNA", at positions 1 to 49 of the family's 154-position model. Lineage: Eukaryota; Fungi. The record is from RNAcentral.
UCUCCGUAGGUGAACCUGCGGAGGGAUCAUUACCGAGUGAGGGGGCCCUCGCGCCCCCGACCUCCCAACCCUUUGUUGACCAAACCACUUUUGCCUCGGGGGCAGAGCGGCCUCCGCCGCCCCCGGUGGACCAUUCAACCCUGUCUCUGUACGUCGGAGUCUUUGAUGAAUAAAUGAAAACUUUUAACAACGGAUCUCUUGGUUCUGGCAUCGAUGAAGAACGCAGC